CCUACGGGAGGCAGCAGUAGGGAAUCUUCCACAAUGGACGAAAGUCUGAUGGAGCAACGCCGCGUGAGUGAUGAAGGCCUUCGGGUCGUAAAACUCUGUUGUUAGGGAAGAACCAGUACCGUUCGAAUAGGGCGGUACCUUGACGGUACCUAACCAGAAAGCCACGGCUAACUACGUGCCAGCAGCCGCGGUAAU
This 195-nucleotide ribosomal RNA is filed under the name uncultured Bacillus sp. RNAcentral describes it as "partial 16S ribosomal RNA". It matches the Rfam family "Bacterial small subunit ribosomal RNA", at positions 338 to 524 of the family's 1533-position model. The record is from RNAcentral. Lineage: Bacteria; Bacillati; Bacillota; Bacilli; Caryophanales; Bacillaceae.